AACGAACGCUGGCGGCAUGCCUAACACAUGCAAGUCGAACGAGACCUUCGGGUCUAGUGGCGCACGGGUGCGUAACGCGUGGGAACCUGCCCUUAGGUUCGGCAUAACUCCCCGAAAGGGGUGCUAAUACCGGCUAAUGUCUUCGGACCAAAGAUUUAUCGCCUUUGGAUGGGCCCGCGUUGGAUUAGCUAGUUGGUAGGGUAAAAGCCUACCAAGGCGACGAUCCAUAGCUGGUCUGAGAGGAUGAUCAGCCACACUGGGACUGAGACACGGCCCAGACUCCUACGGGAGGCAGCAGUGGGGAAUAUUGGACAAUGGGCGAAAGCAUGAUCCAGCAAUGCCGCGUGAGUGAUGAAGGCCUUAGGGUUGUAAAGCUCGUUUACCCGGGAUGAUAAUGACAGUACCGGGAGAAUAAGCGCCGGCUAACUCCGUG
This 433-nucleotide ribosomal RNA is filed under the name uncultured bacterium. RNAcentral describes it as "partial 16S ribosomal RNA". It matches the Rfam family "Bacterial small subunit ribosomal RNA", at positions 29 to 507 of the family's 1533-position model. The record is from RNAcentral.